AUGGAACCCACGAGGCAGGUCGUUCGCCACACGACGGCCAUUGGUGCCUCGGGAUCACCUGCGGUGCUAGCUGAGAUGAUGACCUAUCUGGGUUAUCGCUGGCACCCUGAGUACACCGUCUACGAGGAGUACCAGGACUUUAACCAGGAGCAGUACCUUGCCAUCGUCCACCUCUACUCGCGGGAGUAUGACUCCACUACUGUGCUGCACACCGCACAUGGUGUUGGUGUGACCAUCGAUAUGGCUGUCCACGAUGCUGCCUAUGCUGCUCUGACACGUCUUCAUGGAGAGUAUCAGGAGUUGGACACCUCCCCUUUCAGGCAUAUUGCUAUCGCAUCUGAUCUGAUGUUGGUGCGGAGGGAUACUAUACUGCUGCCUACUCCACUGUCACCCGAGAGCCCUUCUACCAUCAGAACCUGGUUCUGCAUGCUGAUGGGCUGGAUCGAGCUAACCGAGCUCUUCGCCACGAGAUGUACACCACCCGUCAGCACCUUUACCGUGCUCUGA
RNAcentral lists this ribosomal RNA (507 nucleotides) under Triticum aestivum (bread wheat). Its description in RNAcentral is "partial small subunit ribosomal RNA". Lineage: Eukaryota; Viridiplantae; Streptophyta; Magnoliopsida; Poales; Poaceae. The record is from RNAcentral.